This 557-nucleotide long non-coding RNA is filed under the name Triticum aestivum (bread wheat). Its description in RNAcentral is "long non-coding RNA (TAES_LNC015827)". The record is from RNAcentral. Lineage: Eukaryota; Viridiplantae; Streptophyta; Magnoliopsida; Poales; Poaceae.
UUAACUCCUCGUGCCAGCUGAGCUUCGGAUUUGUUUUCCUUUUGGCUAUGCGUGCCUUUUCUUCUUGCUCAUUGUCCUUUGUGCUCCCCAUCGUCGCAAGUCUCAACAGCUUGUGCUUUAAUCUUCGUAUGCACCUAUUGUUUGAGGUAAGUCGUUUCUUCUCUCCAAUGCUCCUCCUGUUUUUUCUCCCUUUCUCGGAGUAUGUUGCGCUUUGUUCUUCUGUGUCAUACCUUUUUUUUCCUAUAUGCAGACAUAUUAUCAUGGUGUUUACUAGUUUUCUGCAUUCCAUCGCCUUCAAGAGUUGGACACUUUGUAUACGCCAGGCUUCGCACAUGUUUCCUGGAGCCGCAUGGAUGUUGUCGGACAUGUGAUGAUAGAUGGAAAUGCGCGGGGAUGCUAUUGCAAACAAAAUGUGUACUAGAAACAUGAAUUGAGUGGGAAGCACGCCCAUUUGAUGAUGUCAAUUGUCUGGGGAUGGUGUGCGUUGUCGUUGCUUCAAGAAAUGUUCUGUUGGACAUCGCCCUUUUGUGUACAUUCUUAAUCGUCGGGAUUUAUUC